This 367-nucleotide long non-coding RNA is filed under the name Elaeis guineensis (African oil palm). RNAcentral's name for it is "long non-coding RNA (EGUI_LNC043191)". The record is from RNAcentral. Lineage: Eukaryota; Viridiplantae; Streptophyta; Magnoliopsida; Arecales; Arecaceae.
CGGACAAUCUCGUUUGAAGUGCCCGAUCUCGUUGCACUUGUACCACUUGACUUCCUUCUUGCUCCUACUCUUUCGAGACUUUGACCAUCCCCUUGACUUACCUCUUUCCCUUCCUCUUCCAGAUCUCUCAUCCAUGGCCAAGCUCUCCUGAGGAGCACCUUCCUUGGUCAACUUCUCCUGCUGUUCAUUGGACCAUAGCACCGAGACCAUAUCUUCAUACUUCAGGGUCUCCUUGCCGUAGAGCAGCAUUGUCACCAAUGGAUCAUAGGAAGGGGACAGCAAGUAUAGUGGUAGCAAUGACUUAUCUUCCUCCUCCAUCUUCAUCCUGAUGUUCAGCAAAUCAUUGCACAUCUGGUUGAAUUUCUAG